UGCCGUUCACCAGUUUCUGCCAUGUUACCUUGAGAAAUAAGGAUGGAUGACAUUUUACACUGGUUGUUUUAGAAUACCUGUACAUACAUGCUUCAUAACUCAUGUCUCUCUCAUAUCUGAUGCUUUUGAUUGAUAAAAGCUGCCUGCUGUGGACAAAAAACACUAUGAGAGUGGGGAGAGUGAAUGAAAAGAGUUGCAGGCCAGACAGCAAAACAAUGAUCUGAAACUGUAAAGCCAAGUGGAACCGCAGAUUGAGGUAGACGACUGAAUACCUGGGAGAUUUUGACAGGCGGGGAGCUAUUGAUGAACCGACAGCGGAGAUCCACCUUUGAGCCAACAUAACCCCACUUUCCGUCAUCCAUUUCCACAGUCUGGCCAUUUAUUCCUGGAGGAGAAACACAAGAUUUAAAAAAUAUUUUAAAACACUUUCACCUAUGUUGGGCAUACAUACACCCACCCACACACACACACAAAUCCGCACAGGUUGGCAGCAUCAGACUGGCACGUUCUGAGCUGUUCACAGUCAGUGCAGCAUGCUGAGCUGAUAAAGUGAGCUGAGCUGUCAAAGAUGAUACAUUCCAGCAGCGUGAGAGGUGAGCUGAGGUCAAAGGUCUUGGAUUAAAGUGAGGUAUAAAUAAG
This is a long non-coding RNA of Dicentrarchus labrax (European seabass), 639 nucleotides long. RefSeq lists it as uncharacterized. The record is from RefSeq and is a predicted model, not a curated record. The transcript is spliced from 2 exons. NCBI's taxonomy places the organism in Eukaryota, Metazoa, Chordata, Actinopteri, Moronidae.